AACGAACGCUGGCGGCGCGCCUAAUACAUGCAAGUCGAGCGAGAAGACGUAGCAAUACGUUUGUAAAGCGGCGAACGGGUGAGGAAUACAUGGGUAACCUACCCUCGAGUGGGGAAUAACUAGCCGAAAGGUUAGCUAAUACCGCGUACGCUCCUUGGACUUCGGUUCAGGGAGGAAAGCGAUACCGUGGGUAUCGCGCUCUUGGAUGGGCUCAUGUCCUAUCAGCUUGUUGGUGGGGAACGGCUCACCAAGGCUUCGACGGGUAGCCGGUCUGAGAGGACGAUCAGCCACACUGGCACUGCGACACGGGCCAGACUCCUACGGGAGCAGCAGUAAGGAAUAUUGCGCAAUGGGCGAAAGCCUGACGCAGCGACGCCGCGUGGGGGAUGAAGGUCUUCGGAUUGUAAACCCCUUUCGGGAGGG
This 423-nucleotide ribosomal RNA is filed under the name uncultured bacterium. RNAcentral describes it as "bacterial SSU rRNA". It matches the Rfam family "Bacterial small subunit ribosomal RNA", at positions 29 to 444 of the family's 1533-position model. The record is from RNAcentral.